GCUCAACCGGGGAGGGUCAUUGGAAACUGGGAAACUUGAGUGCAGAAGAGGAGAGUGGAAUUCCACGUGUAGCGGUGAAAUGCGUAGAGAUGUGGAGGAACACCAGUGGCGGAGGCGACUCUCUGGUCUGUAACUGACGCUGAGGAGCGAAAGCGUGGGGAGCGAACAGGAUUAGAUACCCUGGUAGUCCACGCCGUAAACGAUGAGUGCUAAGUGUUAGGGGGUUUCCGCCCCUUAGUGCUGCAGCUAACGCAUUAAGCACUCCGCCUGGGGAGUACGGUCGCAAGACUGAAACUCAAAGGAAUUGACGGGGGCCCGCACAAGCGGUGGAGCAUGUGGUUUAAUUCGAAGCAACGCGAAGAACCUUACCAGGUCUUGACAUCCUCUGACAACCCUAGAGAUAGGGCUUUCCCUUCGGGGACAGAGUGACAGGUGGUGCAUGGUUGUCGUCAGCUCGUGUCGUGAGAUGUUGGGUUAAGUCCCGCAACGAGCGCAACCCUUGAUCUUAGUUGCCAGCAUUUAGUUGGGCACUCUAAGGUGACUGCCGGUGACAAACCGGAGGAAGGUGGGGAUGACGUCAAAUCAUCAUGCCCCUUAUGACCUGGGGCUACACACGUGCUACAAUGGACAGAACAAAG
RNAcentral lists this ribosomal RNA (638 nucleotides) under uncultured bacterium. Its description in RNAcentral is "bacterial SSU rRNA". It matches the Rfam family "Bacterial small subunit ribosomal RNA", at positions 607 to 1244 of the family's 1533-position model. The record is from RNAcentral.